UCAUCAUUAAGAAGAUUUUUGUCUAUAUUAUGGAAAAUCCAAGCACACUAAUUAAUAUUUUCUAAACAAGCAAUGCAAUCAAAAAAUGAAGAGUAUGGUUACCAAAGAAAAUAAUGUGUCAAAAAAUAAGUCUUUUUAGCUAUAACAGGAAUUGUGUAGUUGAGAUCUUAUCCAACUCCUAAUAAAGAUCCUAUUUUCUUCUUAGAUUCAUUUUUUUUAAAAAAAUAGAAGUUUUUUUAGGACCUAAAAAUUACAAAGUCUUAACCUUAUUAGAUUUAGUAGCCUCAGUUUUUUUUAUAGACAAAGACUUUGUCAAAAAAAAGAUAUAUUUUUAAUUAGAAAAAUCAAACCUAUGCAUGUAAAAGUAAUAGUUAGUCGUUUAUUAUCUUAUAAAUAUAUUAUUUAUAAAACUCCUCUUAUA
Molecule: long non-coding RNA, 421 nt
Filed under: Physcomitrium patens
Lineage: Eukaryota; Viridiplantae; Streptophyta; Bryopsida; Funariales; Funariaceae
Description: long non-coding RNA (PPAT_LNC006617)
Source: RNAcentral